Molecule: ribosomal RNA, 931 nt
Filed under: Staphylococcus aureus
Lineage: Bacteria; Bacillati; Bacillota; Bacilli; Caryophanales; Staphylococcaceae
Description: partial 23S ribosomal RNA
Rfam family: Bacterial large subunit ribosomal RNA
Source: RNAcentral
UACGAUUUGAUGCAAGGUUAAGCAGUAAAUGUGGAGCCGUAGCGAAAGCGAGUCUGAAUAGGGCGUUUAGUAUUUGGUCGUAGACCCGAAACCAGGUGAUCUACCCUUGGUCAGGUUGAAGUUCAGGUAACACUGAAUGGAGGACCGAACCGACUUACGUUGAAAAGUGAGCGGAUGAACUGAGGGUAGCGGAGAAAUUCCAAUCGAACCUGGAGAUAGCUGGUUCUCUCCGAAAUAGCUUUAGGGCUAGCCUCAAGUGAUGAUUAUUGGAGGUAGAGCACUGUUUGGACGAGGGGCCCCUCUCGGGUUACCGAAUUCAGACAAACUCCGAAUGCCAAUUAAUUUAACUUGGGAGUCAGAACAUGGGUGAUAAGGUCCGUGUUCGAAAGGGAAACAGCCCAGACCACCAGCUAAGGUCCCAAAAUAUAUGUUAAGUGGAAAAGGAUGUGGCGUUGCCCAGACAACUAGGAUGUUGGCUUAGAAGCAGCCAUCAUUUAAAGAGUGCGUAAUAGCUCACUAGUCGAGUGACACUGCGCCGAAAAUGUACCGGGGCUAAACAUAUUACCGAAGCUGUGGAUUGUCCUUUGGACAAUGGUAGGAGAGCGUUCUAAGGGCGUUGAAGCAUGAUCGUAAGGACAUGUGGAGCGCUUAGAAGUGAGAAUGCCGGUGUGAGUAGCGAAAGACGGGUGAGAAUCCCGUCCACCGAUUGACUAAGGUUUCCAGAGGAAGGCUCGUCCGCUCUGGGUUAGUCGGGUCCUAAGCUGAGGCCGACAGGCGUAGGCGAUGGAUAACAGGUUGAUAUUCCUGUACCACCUAUAAUCGUUUUAAUCGAUGGGGGGACGCAGUAGGAUAGGCGAAGCGUGCGAUUGGAUUGCACGUCUAAGCAGUAAGGCUGAGUAUUAGGCAAAUCCGGUACUCGUUAAGGCUGAGC